GAUGAAGAACGUAGCGAAAUGCGAUACGUAAUGUGAAUUGCAAAUUCAGUGAAUCAUCGAGUCUUUGAACGCACAUUGCGCCCCCUGGUAUUCCGGGGGGCAUGCCUGUCCGAGCGUCAUUGCUGCCCUCAAGCACGGCUUGUGUGUUGGGCCCCGUCCUCCGAUCCCGGGGGACGGGCCCGAAAGGCAGCGGCGGCACCGCGUCCGGUCCUCGAGCGUAUGGGGCUUUGUCACCCGCUCCGUAGGCCCGGCCGGCGCUUGCCGAUCAACCCACAUUUUUAUCCAGGUUGACCUCGGAUCAGGUAGGGAUACCCGCUGAACUUAAGCAUAUCAAUAAGCGGAGGA
This 345-nucleotide unclassified non-coding RNA is filed under the name soil metagenome. Its description in RNAcentral is "partial contains 5.8S ribosomal RNA, internal transcribed spacer 2, and large subunit ribosomal RNA". The stretch from base 1 to 119 matches the Rfam family "5.8S ribosomal RNA", at positions 35 to 154 of the family's 154-position model. The record is from RNAcentral.